UGGGGAAUCUUGCGCAAUGGACGAAAGUCUGACGCAGCAACGCCGCGUGAGUGAAGAAGGCCUUCGGGUUGUAAAGCUCUGUCGGAUGGGACGAACAACACUAUGGUUAAUAGCCAUGGUGCCUGACGGUACCAUUAAAGGAAGCACCGGCUAACUCCGUGCCAGCAGCCGCGGUAAUACGGAGGGUGCAAGCGUUACUCGGAAUUAUUGGGCGUAAAGGGUAGGUAGGUGGUCUGAUUUGUUCGAUGUGAAAGCCUUGGGCUUAACCUGAGAAGUGCAUCGAAAACGGUCAGACUAGAGUUUUGGAGAGGGUCGUGGAAUUCCCGGUGUAGCGGUGAAAUGCGUAGAGAUCGGGAGGAACACCAGAGGCGAAGGCGGCGACCUGGACAAUGACUGACAC
Molecule: ribosomal RNA, 400 nt
Filed under: uncultured bacterium
Lineage: Bacteria
Description: partial 16S ribosomal RNA
Rfam family: Bacterial small subunit ribosomal RNA
Source: RNAcentral